This 82-nucleotide transfer RNA is filed under the name Glycomyces harbinensis. RNAcentral's name for it is "tRNA_Tyr_GTA". It matches the Rfam family "tRNA". From Rfam's summary of the family: Transfer RNA (tRNA) molecules are approximately 80 nucleotides in length. Their secondary structure includes four short double-helical elements and three loops (D, anti-codon, and T loops). Further hydrogen bonds mediate the characteristic L-shaped molecular structure. tRNAs have two regions of fundamental functional importance: the anti-codon, which is responsible for specific mRNA codon recognition, and the 3' end, to which the tRNAs corresponding amino acid is attached (by aminoacyl-tRNA synthetases). tRNAs cope with the degeneracy of the genetic code in two manners: having more than one tRNA (with a specific anti-codon) for a particular amino acid; and 'wobble' base-pairing, i.e. permitting non-standard base-pairing at the 3rd anti-codon position. RNAcentral also lists the same sequence under 8 other names. Lineage: Bacteria; Bacillati; Actinomycetota; Actinomycetes; Glycomycetales; Glycomycetaceae. The record is from RNAcentral.
GGCAGGUUGCCCGAGCGGCCAAAGGGAGCUGACUGUAAAUCAGCCGGCAUUGCCUACGCAGGUUCGAAUCCUGCACCUGCCA